Molecule: ribosomal RNA, 512 nt
Filed under: uncultured bacterium
Lineage: Bacteria
Description: bacterial SSU rRNA
Rfam family: Bacterial small subunit ribosomal RNA
Source: RNAcentral
GACGAACGCUGGCGGCGUGCCUAAUACAUGCAAGUCGAGCGGACGUUUUAUUGGUGCUUGCACCGAUAAAACGUUAGCGGCGGACGGGUGAGUAACACGUGGGCAACCUACCCUAUAGUUUGGGAUAACUCCGGGAAACCGGGGCUAAUACCGAAUAAUACUUUUUGGCUCCUGUCAGAAAGUUGAAAGAUGGUUCUGCUAUCGCUAUAGGAUGGGCCCGCGGCGCAUUAGCUAGUUGGUGAGGUAACGGCUCACCAAGGCAACGAUGCGUAGCCGACCUGAGAGGGUGAUCGGCCACACUGGGACUGAGACACGGCCCAGACUCCUACGGGAGGCAGCAGUAGGGAAUCUUCCACAAUGGGCGAAAGCCUGAUGGAGCAACGCCGCGUGAGUGAAGAAGGAUUUCGGAUCGUAAAACUCUGUUGUUAGAGAAGAACAAGGACGUUAGUAACUGAACAUCCCCUGACGGUAUCUAACCAGAAAGCCACGGCUAACUACGUGCCAGCAGCCGC